GUCUCUUCGGAGACAUCCUCCUAAAUUGGAACAAUAUUAGCAUGACCCCUCUCGAAGGAUGACGUGCAUAAAUUGAGGACUCGUUCAAAGUUCAAAUUUUUU
This is a small nuclear RNA of Setaria italica (foxtail millet), 102 nucleotides long. The record is from Rfam. NCBI's taxonomy places the organism in Eukaryota, Viridiplantae, Streptophyta, Magnoliopsida, Poales, Poaceae.